GACGAACGCUGGCGGCGUGCCUAAUACAUGCAAGUGGACGCAAGGGAACACACUGUGCUUGCACACCGUGUUUUCUUGAGUCGCGAACGGGUGAGUAACGCGUAGGUAACCUGCCUAUUAGCGGGGGAUAACUAUUGGAAACGAUAGCUAAUACCGCAUAAUAUUAAUUAUUGCAUGAUAAUUGAUUGAAAGAUGCAAGCGCAUCACUAGUAGAUGGACCUGCGUUGUAUUAGCUAGUUGGUAAGGUAAGAGCUUACCAAGGCGACGAUACAUAGCCGACCUGAGAGGGUGAUCGGCCACACUGGGACUGAGACACGGCCCAGACUCCUACGGGAGGCAGCAGUAGGGAAUCUUCGGCAAUGGACGAAAGUCUGACCGAGCAACGCCGCGUGAGUGAAGAAGGUUUUCGGAUCGUAAAGCUCUGUUGUAAGUCAAGAACGUGUGUGAGAGUGGAAAGUUCACACAGUGACGGUAGCUUACCAGAAAGG
Molecule: ribosomal RNA, 488 nt
Filed under: Streptococcus mutans
Lineage: Bacteria; Bacillati; Bacillota; Bacilli; Lactobacillales; Streptococcaceae
Description: bacterial SSU rRNA
Rfam family: Bacterial small subunit ribosomal RNA
Source: RNAcentral